GGAGAAAUACCCAAGUGGCUGAAGGGGUCAGUUUCGAAAACUGAUAGAAGUGAGAGCUUGCGAGGGUUCGAAUCCCUCUUUCUCCGCCA
This 89-nucleotide transfer RNA is filed under the name Bacilli bacterium. RNAcentral's name for it is "tRNA-Ser". It matches the Rfam family "tRNA". From Rfam's summary of the family: Transfer RNA (tRNA) molecules are approximately 80 nucleotides in length. Their secondary structure includes four short double-helical elements and three loops (D, anti-codon, and T loops). The record is from RNAcentral. Lineage: Bacteria; Bacillati; Bacillota; Bacilli.